GAUGAACGCUAGCGGCAGGCUUAACACAUGCAAUCGAGGGGUAGAAGUCUUCGGACUUUGAGACCGGCGCACGGGUGCGUAACGCGUAUGCAAUCUGCCUUGUACAAAGGGAUAGCCCAGAGAAAUUUGGAUUAAUACCUUAUAGUAUAUCGAUGUGGCAUCACAAUGAUAUUAAAGAUUUAUCGGUACAAGAUGAGCAU
Molecule: ribosomal RNA, 200 nt
Filed under: uncultured bacterium
Lineage: Bacteria
Description: partial 16S ribosomal RNA
Rfam family: Bacterial small subunit ribosomal RNA
Source: RNAcentral